This 214-nucleotide long non-coding RNA is filed under the name Elaeis guineensis (African oil palm). Its description in RNAcentral is "long non-coding RNA (EGUI_LNC052583)". Lineage: Eukaryota; Viridiplantae; Streptophyta; Magnoliopsida; Arecales; Arecaceae. The record is from RNAcentral.
GAAUCCCUAAAUCUAAUAUUCUAUUACAUGAUUAUUAUAUAGUAUUAAAUUAAAAAUUAAAAUAUAUAGAGCAUGAACUACAUGUUGAUCAUAUCAACAUGUUUCUAUACUACAUCUAAUGUAUGUAUUAAACAAUAGAUCAGAUCUAUUACCUUGCAAGUUAGACAUUCUAACCUCGCUGAUCCAGGUUUGAGGAUGAUGUUGCAAGCCACAC